GACGAACGCUGGCGGCGUGCCUAAUACAUGCAAGUAGGACGCAGUUGCGAACGGGAGAGUAACGCGUAGGUCACUACGUAUUAGAGGGGGGUAACUAAUGGCUACGAUAGCUAAUACCGCAUACUUGAAGGUGGACCUGCGUUGUAUUAGCUAGUAGGUAGGGUAAGGGCCUACCUAGGCAAAGAGACAUAGCCGACCUGAGAGGGUGAUCGGCCACACUGGGACUGAGACACGGCCCAGACUCCUACGGGAGGCAGCAGUAGGGAAUCUUCGGCAAUGGGGGGAAGCCUGACGGAGCAACGCCGCGUGAGUGAAGAAGGCUUUCGGAUCGUAAAGCUCUGUUGUUAGGGAAGCGGUACUUAACCAGAAAGCGACGGCUAACUACGUGCCAGCAGCCGCGGUAAUAC
This 407-nucleotide ribosomal RNA is filed under the name uncultured bacterium. RNAcentral's name for it is "partial 16S ribosomal RNA". It matches the Rfam family "Bacterial small subunit ribosomal RNA", at positions 28 to 526 of the family's 1533-position model. The record is from RNAcentral.